Long non-coding RNA from Herpailurus yagouaroundi (jaguarundi), 548 nucleotides. RefSeq lists it as uncharacterized. Lineage: Eukaryota; Metazoa; Chordata; Mammalia; Carnivora; Felidae. The transcript has 2 exons. The record is from RefSeq and is a predicted model, not a curated record.
AGCUUAGGGUACAGAGAGAAAAGGACUCUGUUCAGGGAAAACCGUGUAUACUGCUGACUUACUAGGGGAUUUCUGGAGAUUCUUAAAAAAUGUAAAAGUCUAUUGUGUGGUUCAUGGGCAAGUCACUUCCCCUCUCUGUGCCUUAGUUUCCUCAUUUGGAAAAAGUGAAUCAUAACAAUAGCUGCUUCAUAGCAUCAGUUAGCAGAUUAAUGAGUUAAUAUCUGCAAAGGACUUAGGGCAGUUACCUGGAACACAAUCAGGGCUAUAUCACUUGUUGGUUAUUUUACUGUCGUUGAGACAGAGAAAAGCACUGUUCUCAAAUAAGUCAGCCGAAGUAGGAAAGAAAAGCCUAUUGACUUCACUAACAUUAAUGAAUCAAGUAGUAUUAAUCAUUACUUUUGCUGCUAGUGCAACUGAGUGCAAUUUUUAUGGUCAUAUCUUUACAAGGUUUUUAAAAGCAUAGAUAUAAUUCUGGAUUUCUACACAGUUGGUAAAAUUUUAAGAUGCUUCCAUAUAUACAUAAAUUUUUUUUUGAUGUUUAUUUAUUU